Molecule: long non-coding RNA, 1226 nt
Organism: Homarus americanus (American lobster)
Lineage: Eukaryota; Metazoa; Arthropoda; Malacostraca; Decapoda; Nephropidae
Exons: 3
Source: RefSeq, a predicted model, not a curated record
GGAGGGCUACUGCAGUGUUGCAUGAUCACCACUUCUUAAACUCUUCUUUUUUAGACCAAUUUAUAAUACAAGGUACAGUAACUCUUAUUUUAUCAAGAAGACCAUGUUUACUGUAUAUUUACCAAGACCAGCAAUGUAGAUAUUUACAUAUACACUCACUCCCACUUAAUGGGACCUUCAUGUUUUGAGACCAUGUUUAAAAUUGCAAGACUAACCAUGCAGUACACAGUAUAUUAGGUAUUGUAGACAGGAAAUCUUGAAAAAUAAAAGGAGUUCUACAGGUAUAUAGUUCAUUUUCAUUUAUUAUACACCUCAUAUAUGUUGGUUUACAAUAAUAGUCCAGAAGUUUUAUACAGAAAGAUUACAAAAGAACUUGUCAAAUUGCCUUAUUGUUCUGUGUUAAACCUGCUCUGUGUAGGUAAUUAAGUUUACUAGACAUUCGGGUAGUCUUAUGUUAUCAAUUAAAACUUUAAUUAUCUAGUAUUAGUGUAGGAGGAAAUCAGAGAACUUGUAAUGGUUGGUAAUGUCACGAUAAAAUUUUUCUCUUAUCUCGAGAUAAGCACAUUGCCACUACUAUGCACAUUUCUUCUCGGCAGAUACAUUGUGAUGGAGGUAUCAUCACGCUUUCACAAUCUCAAGUAUUUCCCAAUUCAACGUCUAUAAUGGACUCCACUUAAGGCAAAACAGACUUCCAUUCAACAUUUGGUGUGCAGUGUCCAGAUUGUCAACAUUCCAUAUCCAUACACUUGAGCACACUCCUAUAACAAAUUACGCGGUGAGCAGCAGUCUUCUCACAGGCAUCAUCCACAACAUUCCUUCACAGUACAUGCCAUUUUACUCAGAUAAAUUUAUAAAAUUCACUAUUAACCAUUGUAUGAGCACACCACUACCGCCCGUGCACGAGUACCCUCCACUGCCCAACGUACGAGCGUCCCAACCCUUCUCACAAAGCAAGUCACUCUUUUUCAUUCUUACAUUGUGGGUUUUAGGAUAGCUAUACAAAGACACAGGUAACUUAAGGUAACUUAACUGGGGAGGCUGAAUUAACAUGUGUUACAUCUUGCUCAAGGUUGGCUCCGUCACUUCCUCUAUGUUGGCCUUUAAGUAAAUCAUCUGUCACCUGCAAUAUUUUUCGAGUUAUUUCUGUAAAAUGAAGGUUAAACCUACAAUAUCCUUCUACCACUAGACCUCCUGUACUUUGACUCCAACUGUACACAAUUUAUCAA